RNAcentral lists this ribosomal RNA (253 nucleotides) under uncultured bacterium. RNAcentral's name for it is "partial 16S ribosomal RNA". It matches the Rfam family "Bacterial small subunit ribosomal RNA", at positions 524 to 776 of the family's 1533-position model. The record is from RNAcentral.
UACGUAGGUGGCAAGCGUUGUCCGGAUUUACUGGGCGUAAAGAGCGCGCAGGCGGUCGGAUUAGUCGCGUGUGAAAGCCCCCGGCUCAACUGGGGAGGGUCACGCGAUACUGUUCGACUCGAAGGCAGGAGAGGGAAGUGGAAUUCCCGGUGUAGCGGUGAAAUGCGUAGAUAUCGGAAGGAACACCAGUGGCGAAAGCGGCUUCCUGGUCCAGCACCGACGUUCAGGCACGAAAGCGUGGGGAGCAAACAGG